GAUUACGGGAGGCUGCAGUGGGGAAUCUUGCGCAAUGGGCGAAAGUUGAUGCAGCCAUGCCGCGUGAAUGAUGAAGGUCUUAGGAUUGUAAAAUUCUUUCACCGGGGACGAUAAUGACGGUACCCGGAGAAGAAGCCCCGGCUAACUUCGUGCCAGCAGCCGCGGUAAUACGAAGGGGGCUAGCGUUGCUCGGAAUUACUGGGCGUAAAGGGAGCGUAGGCGGACAUUUAAGUCAGGGGUGAAAUCCCGGGGCUCAACCUCGGAAUUGCCUUUGAUACUGGGUGUCUUGAGUAUGAGAGAGGUGUGUGGAACUCCGAGUGUAGAGGUGAAAUUCGUAGAUAUUCGGAAGAACACCAGUGGCGAAGGCGACACACUGGCUCAUUACUGACGCUGAGGCUCGAAAGCGUGGGGAGCAAACAGGAUUAGAUACCCUUGUAGUCGAUUCUU
RNAcentral lists this ribosomal RNA (447 nucleotides) under uncultured bacterium. Its description in RNAcentral is "bacterial SSU rRNA". It matches the Rfam family "Bacterial small subunit ribosomal RNA", at positions 337 to 802 of the family's 1533-position model. The record is from RNAcentral.